UAGUUGACAAGGCCUGGAAGGGUUUGUCAUCAAUAGUGUAGUUCAAAUGGGAAUUACAUGCCGUAGGAUAGGAUCGCUCCCGAUUAUGGUUGUUGGCGAGGUAAUGGCUCACCAAGCCUAUGAUCGGUACGGGCCGUGAGAGCGGGAGCCCGGGGAUGGGUACUGAGACAAGGACCCAGGCCUUACGAGGCGCAGCAGGCGCGAAACCUUUACAAUGCUCGAAAGUGUGAUAAGGUUACCCGGAGUGCUAAGAGAAAACUUUUAGCUGUUGUGGGGAGUAGGUAUCCCCACCAGAAAGGAGAGGGCAAGGCUGGUGCCAGCCGCCGCGGUAAAACCAGCUCUUCAAGUGAUCGGGACUUUUAUUGGGCUUAAAGCGUCCGUAGCCGGGUUGGUAAGUUCCUGGUAAAAUCUGGCCGCUUAACGGUCAGCAGGCUAGGAAUACUGCCUUCCUUGAGGGUGGGAAAGGUCUGAGGUACUCUGUGGGUAGCGGUGAAAUGUGAUAAUCCUCAGGGGACCACCAGUGGCGAAGGCGUCAGACUGGAACACGCCUGACGGUGAGGGACGAAAGCUAGGGGAGCGAACGGGAUCAGAUACCCCGGUAGUCCUAGCUGUAAACGAUGUGCGUUAGGUGUCGGUGGGGCUAGGAGCCGCACCGGUGCCGUAGAGAAAUCGUUAAACGCACCGCCUGGGAAGUACGCUCGCAAGAGUGAAACUUAAAGGAAUUGGCGGGGGAGCACCACAAGGGGUGAAGCCUGCGGUUCAAUUGGACCCAACGCCGGAAGCUUACCAGGGGCGACAGCAGUAUGAAGGUCAGGCUGACGACCUUACCAGACAAGCUGAGCGGAGGUGCAUGGCCGUCGCCAGUUCGUGCCGUGAGGUAUCCUGUUAAGUCAGGCAACGAACGAGACCCACACACUUAGUUACCAGCAACCGUCUUCGGAUGGGUUGGGAACGCUAGGUGAACCGCCGCCGUACAGACGGAGGAAGGGGUGGGCCACGGCAGGUCAGUAUGCCCCCAAUCCCCUGGGCCACACGCGGGCUGCAAUGGUGGGGACAAUGGGUUGCAACACCGAAAGGUGAAGCCAAUCUCGAAACCCCAUCUCAGUUGGGAUUGUCGGCUGCAACUCGCCGACAUGAACGUGGAAUCCCUAGUAAUCGUGUGUCAACAUCGCACGGUGAAUACGUCUCUGCUCCUUGCACACACCGCCCGUCGCUCCAUCCGAGUGUAGCGCAAUUGAAAACUAAUCCAUCGGGUAAGCUUGAGAUUGUGUUACGCGAGGAGGGAGAAGUCGUAACAAGGUA
Molecule: ribosomal RNA, 1302 nt
Filed under: metagenome
Description: bacterial SSU rRNA
Rfam family: Archaeal small subunit ribosomal RNA
Source: RNAcentral